RNAcentral lists this ribosomal RNA (484 nucleotides) under uncultured bacterium. RNAcentral's name for it is "partial 16S ribosomal RNA". It matches the Rfam family "Bacterial small subunit ribosomal RNA", at positions 30 to 507 of the family's 1533-position model. The record is from RNAcentral.
AUUGAACGCUGGCGGCAUGCUUUACACAUGCAAGUCGAACGGUAACAGGGUGCUUGCACCGCUGACGAGUGGCGAACGGGUGAGUAAUGCAUCGGAAUGUACCGUGUAAUGGGGGAUAGCUCGGCGAAAGCCGGAUUAAUACCGCAUACGCCCAGAGGGGGAAAGUGGGGGACCGAAAGGCCUCACGUUAUACGAGCAGCCGAUGUCUGAUUAGCUAGUUGGUGAGGUAAAGGCUCACCAAGGCGUCGAUCAGUAGCGGGUCUGAGAGGAUGAUCCGCCACACUGGAACUGAGACACGGCCCAGACUCCUACGGGAGGCAGCAGUGGGGAAUUUUGGACAAUGGGCGCAAGCCUGAUCCAGCCAUGCCGCGUGUCUGAAGAAGGCCUUCGGGUUGUAAAGGACUUUUGUCCGGGAGCAAAUCCUAGUGGUUAAUACCUACUGGGGCUGAGAGUACCGGAAGAAUAAGCACCGGCUAACUACGUG